RNAcentral lists this transfer RNA (72 nucleotides) under Armatimonadota bacterium. RNAcentral describes it as "Armatimonadetes bacterium (rhizosphere metagenome) tRNA-Gln". It matches the Rfam family "tRNA". From Rfam's summary of the family: Transfer RNA (tRNA) molecules are approximately 80 nucleotides in length. Their secondary structure includes four short double-helical elements and three loops (D, anti-codon, and T loops). Lineage: Bacteria; Bacillati; Armatimonadota. The record is from RNAcentral.
UGACGAGUGGUGUAAUCGGCAACAUACCUCGCUUUGACCGAGGCAUUCCUGGUUCGAGUCCAGGCUCGUCAG